GACAUAGGUGGCGAACGUUAUCCGGAAUUAUUGGGCGUAAAGGAUGCGUAGCUGGUAGAGUAAGUUACUGGUUGAUGCCAAACUCAAUUUGACGGAAGCUGGUAAUACUGUUCUGCUAGAGGACAGGAGAGGUUGAUGGAAUUCUGUGUGGAGCGGUGAAAUGCGUUGAUCUACAGAGGAACACCAAAAAAGGCGAAGGCAGUCAACUAUUCUGUUCCUGACGCUGAGGCGCGAAAGCUAGGGGAGCAAACGGG
Molecule: ribosomal RNA, 254 nt
Filed under: uncultured bacterium
Lineage: Bacteria
Description: partial 16S ribosomal RNA
Rfam family: Bacterial small subunit ribosomal RNA
Source: RNAcentral